UUUCCGUAGGUGAACCUGCGGAAGGAUCAUUAUUGAAAUAAACCUGAUGGGUUGUUGCUGGUUCUCUAGGGAGCAUGUGCACGCCUUGUCAUCUUUAUAUCUCCACCUGUGCACUUUUUGUAGGCCUUCCAGGUCUAUGUUGCUUCAUUUACCCCAAUGUAUGUCAAUAGAAUGUUGUGCCUAUUUAAUAUAUACAACUUUCAGCAACGGAUCUCUUGGCUCUC
This 224-nucleotide unclassified non-coding RNA is filed under the name plant metagenome. Its description in RNAcentral is "partial contains small subunit ribosomal RNA, internal transcribed spacer 1, and 5.8S ribosomal RNA". The record is from RNAcentral.